UGCCAGACUCCUACGGGAGGCAGCAGUGAGGAAUAUUGGUCAAUGGCCGAGAGGCUGAACCAGCCAAGUCGCGUGAGGGAAGACGGCCCUACGGGUUGUAAACCUCUUUUGUCGGGGAGCAAAGCGAACCACGUGUGGUUCAUUGAGAGUACCCGAAGAAAAAGCAUCGGCUAACUCCGUGCCAGCAGCCGCGGUAAUACGGAGGAUGCGAGCGUUAUCCGGAUUUAUUGGGUUUAAAGGGUGCGUAGGCGGGCUGUUAAGUCAGCGGUAAAAUGUCGGGGCUCAACCCCGGCCUGCCGUUGAAACUGGCGGCCUCGAGUGGGCGAGAAGUAUGCGGAAUGCGUGGUGUAGCGGUGAAAUGCAUAGAUAUCACGCAGAACUCCGAUUGCGAAGGCAGCAUACCGGCGCCCUACUGACGCUGAGGCACGAAAGCGUGGGUAUCGAACAGGAUUAGAUACCCUAGUA
This 465-nucleotide ribosomal RNA is filed under the name uncultured bacterium. Its description in RNAcentral is "bacterial SSU rRNA". It matches the Rfam family "Bacterial small subunit ribosomal RNA", at positions 329 to 792 of the family's 1533-position model. The record is from RNAcentral.